Molecule: long non-coding RNA, 934 nt
Filed under: Solanum tuberosum (potato)
Lineage: Eukaryota; Viridiplantae; Streptophyta; Magnoliopsida; Solanales; Solanaceae
Description: long non-coding RNA (STUB_LNC003287)
Source: RNAcentral
AGACAAUUUCUAUGGAGGAGAUUAAGGAAACAACAGCCAACAUGUGAUGCUCGGACAUCUUAUACAUGCUAUGAACAUUACGUUUUUGUUGUACAUGUAUGUUUGAGUUGUAGAUGAAGAGCAACAAUCAAAGUUCUGAUGUGGCAUGUUGCUGAAACCCCAUCCAUUACAUUGUUGUGAUUCUGAUCUCGUCAAAUGAGCUUGGGUGGGUGAAUACCAGAGUGCAAUUAUGCUAACUGUUGUGUGAUGCAUCUAGAUUGUACGAGUCAGUAAUAGGGGAUUUUGGGUAGCUUCAGCUAAUGCAAAUCCUGAUUUUGUAUAAAACGGGAAUCAAUUUCCAAUAGCUGCUUUGUGAAGUUCAAUCCCAGGCGCCUGACGUGUUAAUAAUGAAAUGGAGACAUCUCACCUUCGCAAUGUAAGCCGUUUUAUAUGCAACAGCGUCUGUCAAUGUGUCAUUGGCUCUUAUAUGCGCUGACACAUUGGCGCUAACAUGGGCUACAAUUUUACCGGUUUGCACUCGGCAAAUGUAUCCCAAAUGCGAGGCUAGGGAGUAGGGAGAGAAGUUUUGUGUAAUUCAUUUUUAAGUUUGUUUGACUUUCUGAUGGGAAAAAAGAGACCAAUUAUUAGGUAAAAAGUUGACACCAAGUAAGAGGGAAAAUAAGGUACAAUCAUGAUAAAAUUUAGGAUCCAUUUAAAAGGAAAAAUCGGGAUCAACGAAAUGAGCUUCACAAAAUGGAAACCUUUCUUGUACAUUUUACUUGAGAGAAUGAGAGUGAUGAAAGUUGUUUCAUCUAGUCAAGAUACUUCCGGAGUACUGUCACCCUGAGGAUCAAAUAUUUGCAUUUGAAAGUUAAAAAUACUUUUCACAGUUGUAAAUAUGACUUUUUCAUUUUGUUGAGGUUUGGAUAUACUAUCAUUUAUAAGGAAGUUAGAG